RNAcentral lists this ribosomal RNA (427 nucleotides) under uncultured bacterium. Its description in RNAcentral is "partial 16S ribosomal RNA". It matches the Rfam family "Bacterial small subunit ribosomal RNA", at positions 355 to 774 of the family's 1533-position model. The record is from RNAcentral.
UGGGGAAUAUUGCACAAUGGGCGCAAGCCUGAUGCAGCCAUGCCGCGUGUAUGAAGAAGGCCUUCGGGUUGUAAAGUACUUUCAGCGGGGAGGAAGGCGAUAAGGUUAAUAUCCUUGUCGAUUGACGUUACCCGCAGAAGAAGCACCGGCUAACUCCGUGCCAGCAGCCGCGGUAAUACGGAGGGGGCAAGCGUUAAUCGGAAUUACUGGGCGUAAAGCGCACGCAGGCGGUCUGUCAAGUCGGAUGUGAAAUCCCCGGGCUCAACCUGGGAACUGCAUUCGAAACUGGCAGGCUAGAGUCUUGUAGAGGGGGGUAGAAUUCCAGGUGUAGCGGUGAAAUGCGUAGAGAUCUGGAGGAAUACCGGUGGCGAAGGCGGCCCCCUGGACAAAGACUGACGCUCAGGUGCGAAAGCGUGGGGAGCAAACA